UACGUAGGGCGCAAGCGUUGUCCGGAAUUAUUGGGCGUAAAGCGCGCGCAGGCGGCCUCUUAAGUCUGAUGUGAAAUCUUGCGGCUCAACCGCAAGCGGCCAUUGGAAACUGGGGGGCUUGAGUACAGAAGAGGAGAGUGGAAUUCCACGUGUAGCGGUGAAAUGCGUAGAUAUGUGGAGGAACACCAGUGGCGAAGGCGACUCUCUGGUCUGUAACUGACGCUGAGGCGCGAAAGCGUGGGGAGCAAACAGG
RNAcentral lists this ribosomal RNA (253 nucleotides) under uncultured bacterium. Its description in RNAcentral is "partial 16S ribosomal RNA". It matches the Rfam family "Bacterial small subunit ribosomal RNA", at positions 524 to 776 of the family's 1533-position model. The record is from RNAcentral.